CAGUAGCCGCGGUAAUACGUAGGGUGCAAGCGUUAAUCGGAAUUACUGGGCGUAAAGCGUGCGCAGGCGGUUUGUUAAGACAGAUGUGAAAUCCCCGGGCUCAACCUGGGAACUGCAUUUGUGACUGGCAAGCUAGAGUGUGGCAGAGGGGGGUGGAAUUCCGCGUGUAGCAGUGAAAUGCGUAGAUAUGCGGAGGAACACCGAUGGCGAAGGCAGCCCCCUGGGCCAACACUGACGCUCAUGCACGAAAGCGUGGGGAGCAAACAGGAUUAGAUACCCGAGUAGUCCCUGUCUCUUAUAC
Molecule: ribosomal RNA, 301 nt
Filed under: uncultured bacterium
Lineage: Bacteria
Description: partial 16S ribosomal RNA
Rfam family: Bacterial small subunit ribosomal RNA
Source: RNAcentral